AAUUAAAGGGCGAGGUCAGCACAACAUAAAAAAAAAACAACAAAAAAAAAUCGGAGGAGCUUGCCGAAGAUGAGGCCAUUAAGGCUCGCCUUUAGGUGUCCAUCCUGGGACAGCGUCAUUUAUAGAACGAUGGUCAGCACAACGUAAAAAAAAACAAAAAAAAAUCGGA
Molecule: non-coding RNA, 169 nt
Organism: Arachis ipaensis
Lineage: Eukaryota; Viridiplantae; Streptophyta; Magnoliopsida; Fabales; Fabaceae
Source: RefSeq, a predicted model, not a curated record